AAACAUGUCCUUUUGAUUUUAUUUAAGGUCUAGCCUGCCCACUGAAGUUUUAAAUGGCCGCAGUAUCCUAACUGUGCAAAGGUAGCAUAAUCAUUAGUCUUUUAAUUGGAGGCUGGUAUGAAUGGCUGGACGAGAUACUAACUGUUUCAUUUAUAUUUAAAAUAGAAUUUUAUUUUUUAGUCAAAAAGCUAAAAUUAAGUUAAAAGACGAGAAGACCCUAUAAAUCUUUAUAUUUUAUAUAUAUUAAUAAUAUAGAUUUUUUUUAUUAUUAUAUAAAAAAAUAUUUUAUUGGGGUGAUAUUAAAAUUUAAUAAACUUUUAAUUUUUAACAACAUUAAUUUAUGAAUAAUUGAUCCGUUUUUAACGAUUAUAAAUUUAAGUUACUUUAGGGAUAACAGCGUAAUUUUUUUGGAGAGUUCAUAUCGAUAAAAAAGAUUGCGACCUCGAUGUUGGAUUAAGAUUCAGGCUUGGGCGCAGCCGUUCAAGUUUUAAGUCUGUUCGACUUUUUAAAUCUUACAUGAUCU
This 523-nucleotide ribosomal RNA is filed under the name Rhis whitleyi. RNAcentral describes it as "partial 16S ribosomal RNA". It matches the Rfam family "Bacterial large subunit ribosomal RNA", at positions 1811 to 2606 of the family's 2925-position model. The record is from RNAcentral. Lineage: Eukaryota; Metazoa; Arthropoda; Insecta; Diptera; Coelopidae.